This 344-nucleotide long non-coding RNA is filed under the name Durio zibethinus. RNAcentral describes it as "long non-coding RNA (DZIB_LNC000490)". Lineage: Eukaryota; Viridiplantae; Streptophyta; Magnoliopsida; Malvales; Malvaceae. The record is from RNAcentral.
AAUUUUAUGCUUUUAACAAAGAAGCAAACGACAAAUAAGAUAAAAGCAGAGGAAAGUGAUACAAAGCACAAAUAGAAGAUCAAUUUCAAGUUGAAGUCUAUCUAUGAUCCAUCACUUAUCUCAAGGCAUUUUGCUUUAGCAAAAGAUGUGUUGGUCAGACAGAUUCAAGGCCAAUUGUUUUGUCUUCGAGGAUGGGGUAGAAUUUUUGCAAAAGAUAUUUGAUUCAAUGGGAUGACGUGCUUUUUGCUCUAUUUCUUGUGGCUCCUCCAAAUUCAAGCUUAUCUAUUCUAUCUAAUUAAACCCAUUCUCUUGAAAAUUAUUAUAUUACUCUUUCAAUUAUGUGC